RNAcentral lists this ribosomal RNA (490 nucleotides) under uncultured bacterium. RNAcentral describes it as "partial 16S ribosomal RNA". It matches the Rfam family "Bacterial small subunit ribosomal RNA", at positions 29 to 505 of the family's 1533-position model. The record is from RNAcentral.
AGUGAACGCUGGCGGUAGGCCUAACACAUGCAAGUCGAACGGCAGCACAGUAAGAGCUUGCUCUUACGGGUGGCGAGUGGCGGACGGGCGAGGAAUACAUCGGAAUCUACUUUUUCGUGGGGGAUAACGUAGGGAAACUUACGCUAAUACCGCAUACGACCUACGGGUGAAAGCAGGGGAUCUUCGGACCUUGCGCGAUUGAAUGAGCCGAUGUCGGAUUAGCUAGUUGGCGGGGUAAAGGCCCACCAAGGCGACGAUCCGUAGCUGGUCUGAGAGGAUGAUCAGCCACACUGGAACUGAGACACGGUCCAGACUCCUACGGGAGGCAGCAGUGGGGAAUAUUGGACAAGGGGCGCAAGCCUGAUCCAGCCAUACCGCGUGGGUGAAGAAGGCCUUCGGGUUGUAAAGCCCUUUUGUUGGGAAAGAAAAGCAGCAGGUUAAUACCCCGCUGUUCUGACGGUACCCAAAGAAUAAGCACCGGCUAACUUCG